This 395-nucleotide unclassified non-coding RNA is filed under the name soil metagenome. Its description in RNAcentral is "partial contains 5.8S ribosomal RNA, internal transcribed spacer 2, and large subunit ribosomal RNA". The stretch from base 1 to 122 matches the Rfam family "5.8S ribosomal RNA", at positions 35 to 154 of the family's 154-position model. The record is from RNAcentral.
GAUGAAGAACGUAGCGAAACGCGAUACUUGGUGUGAAUUGCAGAAUCCCGUGAACCAUCGAGUCUUUGAACGCAAGUUGCGCCCGAAGCCAUCAGGUUGAGGGCACGUCUGCCUGGGCGUCACAUAUCGUUGCCCAAUGCCUAUUGCAGUGCAAUAGGAAUUUCUAGGGCGAAUGAUGGCUUCCCGUGAGCGUUGUUGCCUCGCGGUUGGUUGAAAAUCGAGUCCUUGGUAGGGUGUGCCAUGGUAGAUGGUGGUCGAGUUAGAACGAUACCGAUCAUGUGCAUGCUCCCCAAAAUAUGGCCUCUAUGACCCACACGCGUCUUUUGACGCUCAUGACGAGACCUCAGGUCAGGCGGGGCUACCCGCUGAAUUUAAGCAUAUCAAUAAGCGGAGGA